RNAcentral lists this long non-coding RNA (4035 nucleotides) under Equus caballus (horse). Its description in RNAcentral is "lncRNA (ENSECAG00000051029.1)". The record is from RNAcentral. Lineage: Eukaryota; Metazoa; Chordata; Mammalia; Perissodactyla; Equidae.
AGUCUCACAACCAGCUCUCUGGAGAACAAACAACCAACCCUGAUUCGUGGAGUUUGCCAAUUUCCAUGAUGUAAAUACUCCGACCGUGGGUGAUUUCAAACUACCUUCCUGAUGUCACCGAAGGUGGAGCUGGGAAGAGAUGGGCAGUAGGUGGUGAUGUGCAGGGGGUGGUGUCCACGCCAUCCUAUGGUGUUUCCCCCACACGGACACAAUAGACGCAGACAACCUCGAGCGCCGAUGAUGGCAAAGUGAAGUGAAUUGAUAGGAAUUGAUGAGUUCGGAGUAUUUGUUACUUUUAAUUUUAAGGCCAUUUAUUGAAUGGUAAGUUUGUAUAACUUUAUUUUUAACAGUGACUGCUUUUAACAAGCAGCUCACAAAAUUAAUUCCUGAAAAUUUCACAAGCACCUCUUGAGAGCCAGUAUGAACUGAUUGCAGCACACCACUGCCCGAACCCCGUGAUGUAGACGCUGUUGUCAGGGAGGUGAAGCGAGGCCACUCAGCUGGUCAAUGGGACAGCUGGAGAUUCUUGAGCAAGUAACUUCCUGUCUCUGAGCCUCAGUUUCCUCAUCUGUAAAAUGGGGACAAUAAAACGGGGUGCUGCGGAGGUUUAAUGAGCUAAUGCUUGUAAAGCACCUGGCGUUCAGGACAUGCUUGACAAGUGGGAACCAGUAGUGUGUUAAACUUCUUUUUAUGAUAAUAAUGAACAUGGAUCCUGCCCUCAAGGUCUUCAUGGCCUAGUGGAGGGAGGGGGCCAAUGAUAAGACAUAUACACAGUCACAGGAAUCUGAUCCAGGCAGAAAAGGAAGGCUUCCUGGAGGAGGCUGCAUUUGAACUGGGCCUGGCAGGUAAGGGAGAAGCGGGGUCCCUAGGGGUUAGGAGGAGGCAUUCCUGGCUGACGGUCCACAACAAGCAGAGGAGGGACCCAGGAGGCGUGAAGAUGAGAGUGAGAGAUGAGGCUCGAGGCAACAGGAAGAACGUCGGAAGCCAAGACGGAGUCUGAACUCUCCUCUGAGGGCAGUGGGGAGCCACAGCAGUUGUUCAGCAGGGCCUGAUGCCAUCAGACUGGCCUCUUGGAACGUCAGUGACCGCAGUAGGGAGAAGGGCUGGGAGGGGGCAGGAGUGGAGGUGGCAUUGGCCAUGGAGCCGGGGGUAUGGAAGCCCACCCAUCUGGGCUCCUUCACUGUGCCUGGGUGUGGCUAGAGUGUCCAAAGACACAGGCCCCCUUGACCCCUCCUCUCCUGUAGCCACUGGGGGCGCGGCACAGUGGAGUCCCCGCCCCAGCCCUGCCCAAGCCCAGGUCCAGCUCCAGCCCCCGCAGCUAAUCCUAGUGUCACUGGGUCCCGAGGCCGGGGCGGGGCAGCCUGGCAGCUGGCCUCAAUUAGGUGGGGAGCCUGGUCUGGACAGUGUCAUUAGGAGAAAACCAGAGCCCGGCCAUAAACUCUAAUGAAUGCAUUAAUGGAAGGCUUGUGCGCCUCAAAGGGAAAAAAAAAAGCAGGUCUAAAUAAAGUUAUUAACACAGCCCACCUGUGUUCGGCUCUUGGCCUAUAUUGUUCAAAUAGCCCAUUAACUCCUGAAGCAUCCAGUCUUGAAAGCGAGGCCUGCCUCUCUGAAGCCGACGUUUAACUGCGUUCAUAUAAUUCAAUUAGAUUCCGCAGUCCUGGGCCAAAGGCAUUCUCCCGGCUUUCAUCUCGGUAAUGGCCUGCAGGCCGGAGCGGGGAACAGGGGGUUAAAAAGAGGGGCUUGGAACCUGCCUUUUGGCCUGACUCACCCCAUCACCUGGAGCGGCCUCCAAAUGAUUUCCUGGGGCAGAACGUGUUCAUCACCCGCCCAGGCUCCCCGUGGUCUUCAGUGCCUGGAAUUCGAACCCAGACCUUCCUCACGCAUUCUCUGUCCAGCAUCCAAGCCCCGCACCCCCUCCAGUCGGCUCCAUUCCCCUUGUCCAGUGGUCCAGCCAUCCAAGGACCCUGACUCCGCUCAGCCAACCCUAUUAAUAAAGAGUAAAGAAAAUUCAUUAGGAAGUGGGCCUUUUAUAGAUUCCGUUAAAGCGUUCUUCCUACCUCUGUCACUGAAAAAGGAUAAAAAUCCUUUUAUCACUCUACAACUUGUUAAUGUUCCACCCCGGGAGCACUUCAUCUGUAAUAAACAUCUUCACGAAAUAUGCAUCCCCAGGGAGGAGCCGUUAAUUUCCUCAAGGCCUCACACAUGUAAAGGGUUUUAUUGCCUGCAGGUGCUUCACGAUAUUGCGUGGGCUUCUAAUAAACGUCCAGUAAACCGCAGGUAGCGCCUCGGAGAGAGAUGGGCCUGUGCACCUGUCCACAAAGGGCCUCCACAUGCUGCAGCUCCGCCUUCCGUGGCCCAGCCCUGGCACGGUCGGCUCCGGAGACGAUCCUGCCCCUCGGGACGCCUGCAGGCAACUACUGUUUCACUUCCCUGAAGAAGCUCAUAAUAUUAUAAUUCAAGUGUCAGGACAGAUUAGGUUAAACGAACUGUGUAAUUCCCGAAGGAAAACAAACUUCAAAACGGACGCGGUUUGCCACGUAACAUGUCAUGGAUUGCAUUAGCGUCGCACGGGCAAUUCCAUCACCUAAUGUGCUAAAGUUGGCUCAAAUGUUCCCCACUCUGCAAGGGCCACAGCAGUUGGGGCCACGGCUUAUCCAUCAUUGCAAAGAUCUCUCCGAGAGAAAUGAAACAAGUCAGCUCUGCCCAGAGGGGGAGAAAGCUGAACGGCGCAUGGGGCCGCCCGUCCCAGGACCUUCUUGGCUUGGCUCCUGUGGAAGGGCGUGGGCUCCUUCGUCUGAAAACUGCCAAGGGAAUGCAGCCACACGGCUUAAGAGAAAUGGCGCAUCCCUGUGGUUUGGUGUCCAAGUGGACCAUUCAGGACGCUCAACUCAGAUUCCUUCCCAAACUUUGUCCAGCUCCAAGACCAACAGGGGGCUUCCACUGCAGAGGUCCAGACACCUGCACAGAUGUGUCCCUGCUGGGGGGAGGGGGUGGUGGUGAAGGUGGAAACACCGUUUCUAAGCAGCUCCUUAGAAGUGAACAAAUUCUGGUACCUCCGCGUUGUCUCGGGAACCUGCCUCUUUCCUGCCGUCUGUGCUCCCAUCCUCCCAGUGGGGGGGCUGUGGAUUCUCCAACAGGCCCAGGUAGAAUUCUGAGGUCAUCGGAGUCCCUCCUUCAAGCCUCAGUUCUAUCAGUAUCAAACUUCUGGGGAGACUUCAGGGGAAGCAGCAAGUUUGAGCCAAGAACGCAGAAUUGGAAUUCUCUGAUAAAUCCCUCCCAGCUGAGCCGGGAGGGUCUGUAGUUGGCUCAGCAAGCAGGGACGGCAGGAAGGGGCUGGUGCUGGGAAACUUCAAACAGACCUGGGGUGGCGGGGAGGCUGUGCUGAGGGAGGAGGCCACCGACAGAGGGCUCAGUUAAUUAAAGAGAUGCGUGGGCACACCUAUAGGCUCAGCCCUCUUGGUGUUAAAGCGCCAGCAACUCAAGUUCUGUGCAGGGACUCCCUCCCCCAGGGGGAGGCCUGGAAGCGGGGGAAGCCUCGAGCCACAUUUAGGAUGGACAUUUGCAGUCUUCUGGAAAGCCCCAGCCAGGGGUCCUUGGCCCUUCCACCAAGAGUUCCAAGGGAGCCGAGACUGUUUAAAAGCCUCCUUAAGCAUCAAGGGGUCUCCUGUGUUGCAGGCACUGGGCUGCACAUCACCUGGGAGAGGUAGGGGUCAUCAUAUCUCCCAUUUUACAGAUGAGGGAAGUAAGGCUCAGAAGUCACCAGCUCAAGUGCCUAUGGCUGGUGUGUGGGAGAGGCCCGGCUGGAGCUAGGAUUCUCUGACUUAUGCCACUGGCUGGAGCUGGGGACAGGACAGAGACCAGCAAAGGACAGGUGAUGGCUGCUUCCAUCCGGCCCUCACCUUGGCCCGCCCUUCACACUGUCCUUGACAUUCAAUCAGGUGCCUGUGAUGUCUGGCCCAGAGGUUGGGGCUGGGCCUCCCCAGCUUCCCAGCGACAAAUGGUUCUCAUUUGAAAGGGAGGUUAUAAAAACACAUG